This is a long non-coding RNA of Neofelis nebulosa (Clouded leopard), 2048 nucleotides long. RefSeq lists it as uncharacterized. Lineage: Eukaryota; Metazoa; Chordata; Mammalia; Carnivora; Felidae. The record is from RefSeq and is a predicted model, not a curated record. The transcript has 2 exons.
CAGGUAUCAGUGUCAUUCAAGGACGUGACUGUGGAGGUCACCCAGGAGGAGUGGCACCAGAUGGACCCUUCUCAAAGAACCCUAUACAGAGAUGUGAUGCUGGAGAACUACAGCCACCUGGUCUCAUUGGCUCUCAAGCCCUGCCGCCUCUUCUGCUUCUGCCCCAUGUAGGGGCAAGUUAAUAAGAAAGCUCAUGUGUAUUCUCCCUUGGCACCAAUUGAGUUCAGGCCCUGCAACUACAGCUCUCACAUGCAGAAGCUUUCAUCUUUGCCUCACCUCAUCCAUGAGAUCUUGACCUGAGCUGAAGUCGGAUGUUUAACUGACUGCCACCCAGGCGCCCCGAGAAGUUCCAUUCUACUCCUAGUUGGUUGAAUGUUUUUGGCAUGAAGGAGUGUUGAUUUGUGUCAUAAUGCUUUUUUCUGUGUCUUUUAAGAUGAUCACAUGGUUUUUAUGUUUUAUUCUGUUGAUACCGUGAAUUACAUUGAUGCAGUUUUGUGUAUCACAGCAACUGCAUUCUUGCAUUCCUUGGUCAUUCCCAUGACCAAUUCCACUUGGUCAUGGUGUGUAAUAAAUUUAAUAUGUUGCCAUAUAUCAGUUUGCUGGUAUUUUGAUGGAAAUUUAUGCAUCUGUAUUCAUAAGAGACAGUUGUAGUUUUCUUGUGAUGUCUGAGAGUAUCAGGGUAAUGCUGGCCUUAUCGAAUGAGAGAAGUGUCCUCUUUUCUGUUUUUUGUGAGGGAGAGAUGAUAAAGAAUUUUUAUUCUUUAUUUGUUUUAAAAAAAUUUUUUUAACGUUUUAUUUAUUUUUGAGACAGGGAGAGACAGAGCAUGAACAGAGGAGGGUCAGAGAGAGGGAGACACAGAAUCCGAAACAGGCUCCAGGCUCUGAGCUGUCAGCACAGAGCCCGACGCGGGGCUCGAGCUCACGGACUGCGAGAUCAUGACCUGAGCCGAAGUCGGCCGCUUAACCGACUGAGCCACCCAGGCGCCCCUAUUAUUAGUUCUUUAAAUGUUUGGUAGAAUUCAGUAGUAAAGCCAUCUGGGCAUGGGCUUUAAUUUGUGGGUAGUGUUUAUUCAAUUUCCACACAUUUGUGAAUUUCCCAAAUUUCUGUUACUGAAUUUUUUAAAAAGUAGGCUUCAUACCCAGCGUGGAGCCCAAUGCAGGGUUUGAACUCAUGACUCUGAGAUCAAGACCUGAGAUGAGAUCAAGAGUCAGAAGCUCGGGGUGCCUGGGUGGCUCAGUUGGUUAAGUGUCUGCAGGUCAUGAUCUCAUUCAUGGCUCAUGGGUGUGAGCCCUGCAUUGGGCUCUGUGCUGACAGCUCAGAGCCUGACAAAUGCUUUGGAUUCUCUCUCUCUCUCUCUCUCUCUCUCUCUCUCUCUCUCUCUCUCUCUCUGCCACUCCCCUGCUUGUGCUCUCUCUCUGUCUUUCAAAACAAACAAACAAAAGUCGGAUGCUCAACCAACUGAGCCACCCAGGUGAUUUCUAAUUUCAUUCCAUUGGGAUCAGAUACUCUUAUUUCUGUAUUUUUAAAUUUAUUAAAGUUUGUCUUGUAGCCUAAUACAUGACCUGUCUUAGGGAGUGUUCCAUGUGCAUUUUAGAAGAAUUUGGAUUCUAUUGCUGUUGGGUGAGUGUGGUAUGUAUGUCCAUUAGGUCUAGUUGGUUUAUAGUGUCAUUUAUUUCCUUACUGAUUUCCUAUCUGGUUACGCUAUAUAUUAUUGAAAGUAUGAUAAUGAAGUCUCCAACUAUUAUUUUUUAAUUGUCUUAUUUCUCCAUUCACUUGUCAGUUUUAGCUUCAUAUAUUUUGGGCUCAGUUGUGAGGUGUGUAUAUGUUUAUAAUUCCUAUACCAUCUUCCUAAUGGAUAUACUCUUUUGUCAUUGUAGAAUGUCUCUCAUUAUCUCUAGUAACAUUUUUCAACUUAAAGUCUAUUUUUUGGGAGGUCAUCUGGCUGGCACAGUCAGUAGAAGGGGUAACUCUUGAUCUCAGGGUUGUAAGUUUGAGCCCACAUUGGGUGUAGAGAUUACUUAAAAUCUUUUAAAAGAAAUGUAUUUUUU